This is a long non-coding RNA of Mus musculus (house mouse), 3932 nucleotides long. RefSeq annotates it as predicted gene, 32392. Lineage: Eukaryota; Metazoa; Chordata; Mammalia; Rodentia; Muridae. The record is from RefSeq and is a predicted model, not a curated record. The transcript is spliced from 4 exons.
GAUUAGGGCUUGUGGUGGCGGGGUCCCUGCCCUGGGAGAAGGGGCUGCGCUGAAGUGUGCCUUGGUUCCUGCUUCCUACCCUCCAAUGACCUCUUCUCCUGGGUCAUCGAGAACCAGGACUUCAUCUUGGAGUGCCCGGUAGCAGCAAGGGGCAAACACCCCCACCCUUAUGUACCAUUCCAUCCUCCUCCUCCCCCCACCUCCACUCUACUGACCCUAGCAUCUACCUCAAAGUGCUCAAGGCCAGGAAGUGGGGGAGACCUCAGAAGCGCAAGCAGGAAUCCCAGUUAUAUGGUUCGGUAGAAUGGGAGUCCUGCCCGUGGGAGGGCCCACCUGAAGUUCACGUAGCAGAAGAAGCCUACAGUCUGGAGUAGGAGGAAGAACAGGAAGAUGCUGGUGUGCAGACAUGUGGAGGAUCCUAGAAGCCAGCCAGAUGGGCGAGGGGCCUUGGCUGUCUUCUUCUGAAAGGGAAGUAUGAGACCCUGCCUCAGCUUCUAACCCAGGGGAGGGGAGGGGACUUGGAAUCUAUGCCUUGCAUGGUCCCUAUUUAUCUCCCUCAGGCUUGAGCCAUCUUGGCUGUCAUCUAGGGAACAUGGAUAAAGGGCAGUGUCCAAAGCUGCAUCUUCCAGUCUCACGUGGAUCCAUUUGUGGGAAUAGUUCAUAAGAUGUAGGUCCUUAAGUCAACAACAGACUAAAAGCUUAAGAGACAAGAGUGGGGGCUGGAGAGAUGGCUCAGUGGGUAAGAGAACUGACUGCUCUUCUGAAGGUCCUGAGUUCAAAUCCCAGCAACCACAUGGUGGCUCACAACCAUCCGUGAUGAGAUCUGAUGCCCUCUUCUGGUGUGUCUGAAGACAGCUACAGUGUACUUAUUUAUAAUAAAUAAAUAAAUCUAAAAAGAGAGAGAGAGAGAGAGAGAGAGAGAGACGAGACGAGAGGGAAGGAGAAGUGGAUGCUGAAAGUGAGGGCGAGGGAAAGAGCAAGGAAGGACAGGGACCCAGGAAACACUGGUGCCACCACUGAAUUUGAGUGUCCCUUGGCAUGGUCUACCCCACUUGCUUUCUGGUCAUCGAGGUGGGUUGACCAAGGGGUCUCUGGGUAGUGCUGAGUGGUGGGCCUUCCUCCUGAGCAAGAGAGUGCAUAGAUGAGAUCUGUGUCCCUUCACACCCAUGUACGGGCACACAUAGGUGCCUGUCAGGCACAGAUGCAUCGGAGCUGCAGGAGUGUUGGGAGAAGAGCAGGAGAGACCAGAUCUCAAGGAUGAGCCCCUUGUACUACCCACUACUUCUUACCACCAGACCCCGGAGGUCCUUCUGCAGGAGGCUGAGGAUAUGGUCCAGUUCAAAAAAGUGAUGCUUAGUGCCCACAGGCAGGUAGAAGACGUGUGCUCCUGAAGCCAUCCGGGCAGCUGCUUCCCUGGUGGUGCGAUGAUCCAUUACUCUUUUUGAUUGUACCCAAAUUACUUAAUCUUUCUCUAUAAUCCCCGAUGCUCAGUACAUGGUAAAGAAUAAGUAUCAUCCAUAGAGUCCUGCCUUGGGAGUUGGUGUUUUUACUCUAAAACUUCUCCCCAGAAUCUGAGACAACUUUAGCUUAUAAAAAGAAGUCUCUAUAAGUGUCUGUCUGUGUUCCGGGCUCCCUGGACUCUGCCUUUCAUCUCUAUCCCGGAGGAAUUAACAUGCCAUGCACCAGGAUGGAGGAUGUACACCCACAGAACCCAAAAUGAGCAUGGGGUCUCCCCUCCCCCAGAGCUCCAUGGGGCACUUCACAGGCAUGGGUGUGCCAGAGUGAGAUUCAGGAACACUGGAGGCAAAAUGAACUCAGACCACUUCCUCCAAAGAGCCUCAUCUUGGCUGUGGGCUUCUUCCAAGAACCUCUAUCAAAAUAUAUGCCCUCGGGGGCUGGGGUGAUGUUUCAGUGGGUGAGAAUGCUUGCUUUGCAAGCACAAGAACCCAAGUUUAUAUUCCCACUACACACAUAAAAAGCCAGGUAUGGCUGUACGUGUCUGUAGCCCCAGCAUUGGAGGCAGAAAUUUCUGAUAGAGACAGGAUGAUAAUGGAUAUUUUCUUCCCUCUCUCAAUAACCCUCCUCAUCUCUUACCUCAUCUCUUGCAGGGCCUGGAUCAGGGUCCGCUGUCCAUAGAGCAGGGUGCUGACCUUGGCAGUGUUCUAUGGGAGGGCCAGCUCUUAUCUAGUAUUCAGAGGACAGUGGCCCUCUCCUCAGAGUCACCUUUACCAUAGAUACCUCAUUCUUCUUCCAGAAACCUUAUUAAAUAGCCAUGGCGCCCUUCUUUUUGGACACACUGAAUCCCCCUGGCACUUGUCCAUCUGGGCUUACAGAAGACCCUCCUUCUGCAACAAAGCUGAGAUGUUUCCCCCCAAAGGGCCCUCGAGGCUUUCCACAAAUCCUUCUCCUUUUAAAACAUGUCCCUGUCUCCUUAGGGAGGCAGAAGCCCAACCCAAUCCUCUCUGUGCCUUUCUCCUAGGCUGUGGGCCAGCACUAGUUAAAAUCCAGUACAUGGGUCCAAGUCUGGCAGAAGGACCUGGAGAGGUAGCUGACAUUUCUGAGGUAGGUGACCCGAGCUCGGAAGGGGAAUGGCCGGUUCCUGAAGUCCCUGUGACAGGAGCCAAGCUCCCGGACAUUUCCAUCCCUGUGGACAAUUGGAAUGCAGCCAGCCACAUGGGACCAAAGGACUAGUCCAUGGGAGACAGUCUCAAGAGCAACUCUGUCCAAGCCUGCAGUGUCACUGUCCCCAUAGGGUGACCUGGCUUGGGGAAGGGAAGGAGACAGAGAUGUUGCUCCACACGGCACCGCUCCGGUUCUUCAUGGAUGGAACCAGCCGCACUUCCUCUAAGCCUAGGAUGGCGUCUGUGGAGCAGGGCAGCAGAGGACGACUGGACUCUAUUCUACAUCUCUAUCUCAUUGUCAAAAGUCAAGCCCUGGGAAAAAGCUCACACCAAGACUUUGUUAUUUGACAUGUGGCUGGCUGCUGAUAUUGAAGAGUCCACUGGGGAAAUGGGACCAGAACCCAGCUGAGUGAUACCCAGGAAAGGCAGCAAGAGACAGUAAUUUACUGUGUUCCAAUUGGGCCUCACUGAACGUCUGUGCCAUCCAUUUUUAUAAGAUACCAUUUUAUGGGACAUGGGAUGGAGUUCACCUGGUAGACUACUUGCCUAGUACACACAUAGCUCUGGGCUUCAUCCCCAGUACCCCAUAAAACCGAGUGUGGUGGUACACACCUGCAAUCCUAGCUCUCAGGAGCUGGAGGCAGGAGGAUCAGUAAUUCAAGGCCAUCCUUGGCUAUGUAGUUAGCUUGAGGCCAUCCUUGGCUACAUCAGACUGUGCUGGGGCUGGGGGAUGGCUCAGUGGGUAAAGAGCUUGCAGCGUAAAAAUGAGGACCUGAGUUCAGAUCCCAGCAUCUACAUAAAAGCUGGGCAUGAGAUGGGUGGUGAUGGUGCAUGCCUUUAAUCCCAGCACUCAGGAGGCAGAGGCAGGGUGGAUCUUGGUGAGUUGGAGGCUAGCCUGGUCUGCAGAUUGAGUUCUAGGAGCUGGGCAUGGCAGUGCAAGCCAGGCUUGUAACCCCAGACCCAGGGGAAAGAGACAGAUGCAUCCUGGGGGCUUGCUGGACAGCCAGUCCAGCUGGAAUAGUGAGCUCUGGGUUCUGUGAGUGACCUUGUCUUUUGUCUUUCUUUCUCCUUCCUUCCUCCCUCCCUCCCUCCCUCCCUCCCUCCCUCUCUCCUUCUCUCUCUUCCUUCCUUUUGCACUGGCUGAUCUUCCAGAGGACCUGAUUCCCAAUAUCCACAUGACUGCUCACAACUGUCUGUAAUUCUGGUUCCAGGGGAUCUGAUACUCUCAUACAGACAAAACACCAAUGCACAAAAAAUAAAUAAAUAAAUAAAUAAAUAAAUAAAUAAAUAAAUCAUUUUUUAAAAAAAGGU